CUGAGGUGAAGUUGUGUCUCACUGGCGGCAGAAUUGAGAAACUAUCACUCCUUCCAACACAGCAACCCGAGGAACUGCCUGAGGCAUCCACUUCCUGUUUCCACAGGGGCAGAACAGUUGUUUAAGGCUAUCUUUAAAUUGGUGGCUUAGAAAAUUAAAGUGGCAGAGAAGAUUCAGAAACUGUAUAAUCCUCAUCUGAAUAACUUUUGUAAAUGAAGCAAGAGAAAGCAGUCAUCUUGUUUCCUGAAGUUAAAGGUCUUCCACCACGUGAGGACACCUGAUAUGGUGCCAUCUACGGGGAAUGAGCCUUCAUCAGAUACUAAACCUGCCAGCACGCUAAUCUUGGACUUUCAGUCUCCAGAAGUCUCAGAAAAUAAAUUUCUGUUCUUAUAAAUUACCCUGUGUGUGUGUGUGUGUGUGUGUGUCUGUGUGUGUGCAUGUUUUGUUACAGCAACACAAAUGGACUAAGACGCUUCCUGUGAUCUCUCUGGUCUUACAACUGAAUUACCCAUUCUCUGCCUAUUGGCCCCACCCAGUUCUCUAAGCCAGGCUGAUGUACCCAAGUGUCAUAUCUCUACCAGUCCAUACAUACAAAUCAAAUAUGAGCCUGCAUUCUGCAUUCCUGGCCAUCUCUCAGGAGGCAUAUCCCCUGCCCCUGCCAAUGUUUGGUUCUAACCUGCCUUCCUUCACUCUUGCUUCCUUGGAUCUCUGGUUUCCUGUCCCCAAAUUGAAUUCAAUUCAAUUCCAACUCUUCUUGCGUCUUCUCCAACAUGGGACUUUGUUUAUCUGUGAAUUCUUUGUACUAGCUCCAUUCUCUCCAUCCUGUAGCCUUCUGUUCAUAGCUCCAAUAAUACCACUCAUCUUGUCCAUUGUAUUUAUCUGUUUAGAGGGUUGGCAUUCUCCACUGACUGUUAGUUCCAUUAGGAUAUGGAACAGGUAUGAUAUAUCUCUGUACUUUCAAGGCCUAACACUCUGCCAGGCAUAU
Molecule: long non-coding RNA, 985 nt
Filed under: Homo sapiens (human)
Lineage: Eukaryota; Metazoa; Chordata; Mammalia; Primates; Hominidae
Description: HSALNT0097372
Source: RNAcentral